UGCAGUCGAGCGGAUGACAGGAGCUUGCUCCUGGAUUCAGCGGCGGACGGGUGAGUAAUGCCUAGGAAUCUGCCUGGUAGUGGGGGACAACGUUUCGAAAGGAACGCUAAUACCGCAUACGUCCUACGGGAGAAAGCAGGGGACCUUCGGGCCUUGCGCUAUCAGAUGAGCCUAGGUCGGAUUAGCUUGUUGGUGAGGUAAUGGCUCACCAAGGCGACGAUCCGUAACUGGUCUGAGAGGAUGAUCAGUCACACUGGAACUGAGACACGGUCCAGACUCCUACGGGAGGCAGCAGUGGGGAAUAUUGGACAAUGGGCGAAAGCCUGAUCCAGCCAUGCCGCGUGUGUGAAGAAGGUCUUCGGAUUGUAAAGCACUUUAAGUUGGGAGGAAGGGUUGUAGAUUAAUACUCUGCAA
Molecule: ribosomal RNA, 414 nt
Filed under: Pseudomonas sp.
Lineage: Bacteria; Pseudomonadati; Pseudomonadota; Gammaproteobacteria; Pseudomonadales; Pseudomonadaceae
Description: bacterial SSU rRNA
Rfam family: Bacterial small subunit ribosomal RNA
Source: RNAcentral